Molecule: long non-coding RNA, 1680 nt
Filed under: Homo sapiens (human)
Lineage: Eukaryota; Metazoa; Chordata; Mammalia; Primates; Hominidae
Description: HSALNT0232338
Source: RNAcentral
CAGGAAGAGGAGGAUUCCCCUGACACAAGGCUGCAGGGCUCACAAGCACUGACAAUUCACUCAUCAGUUUCAGGACCCAUGAAGACAGAGCCACAGAUUCCCCUGAACAGAAUGGCAAUUUUCGUGUGGUGUUAAUUUCCGUGGAAGAAGAAAAGGCUCGACUCUCUGUCCUAUUUUUCAUGAAUACUGGAAGUAGGGAAUAAACCUGGAGUCUCACGGGUGAAAAGAGACAUUUCCAUAUCACCAGACCACAAACGUGGGUGUUGAUUCUAAGGAUACCCCCAAUAAACAUCUUUCGUGCUAAAGCCCAUUCCAGAAUUUACUUCCCAGCUAUCUUUGAUGUUCAUAUUGUCAGAGGUGGUGGCCGCUGAAACAGGCAAAGACAUGGAGCAUAUCUUGGGUCCAGGUAAAGGAGGUGGGUGCACACAAGUGAAAAGAUGUUGCUGAAGUCACGUGGCUUCAAGCAGUAGAGCUGACUGUCCUCUAGUCCAGUUGUCCCUACAGGAUAAAAGCUUCUCUCCAUUACAGAGACCUUGGGAGUCCAGAGGAAGGUCUUUUUACCAUCAGCAUUCUCUACUGUGUUCAAUGACUGUCAGCCAAAGAUGGCCAGCUUUCCUUCAGAAAGAAAUGCAUUCAAAGAACCUACAUUCACAACAUAAAGAAAUAAAGCACACACAAGACCGCCAAGCAUUAAGAUUCUCCUGUGGAGCCAGGCUACAAUCCUUUAAAUGAAGACAGACAGCUAGGUGGCUGCAGCCCAGCGCUACACCUCACCCCUCCCUCAGUGUCAUGCAGAAAAAAUGUAUUCAGAACUCAGAAGUGAAGUUGUGCAAAUCCAUCAUUGACACUAGCUUCAAGGUUACCUCGGGGGAGCAGAAUGUACCCCUGCCAGAGAGCUGGAUAGAUGAUGAUGGGGACAGAAAUUCUGGGGGAGUUGUAAAUGGCAGCCACUGCCUCUAUAGGAAACCCAAAGGGAACACAGCAGAAGAGGAGGUGGUGGAGGAGCCACUGCCCUCUCGAAGGGUUCAAUGUCAUUCUGCAGACACAACCAAAUAACUUUUUCUUCCCUGCUGCUCCUCCAUUUGAAAUGACAGCCCCGAGCUCGCUUUUUCCUUGAUUGUGUAACUCUGAUUACAGACAAGGCCAAGGCAAUCCCAGGGCAUUACUACAAAGCUAAGGGGUCCCCAAAGAACUAAAGAGUCAGCUCCACAAAAAUCCCGAUUCCUAGCAUGAAACUGAAAUAUGAAACCAAACGGGCAUAGAAAAGGUAUGUGCAUUCGAAUCACAUAGCAGUGACUGGAGUCCUGAGCUGUGUCUGAAGACUGUGAGAUCACGUUUGGAGCUGCUGAUUGGUUUUCAGUGAUGGCCCUGUUGCACAGUGCCGUGAGACUUAGCUCCAUGGCCAAAGACGAUGGUAUCCCCUAGGAGCCCUGUGAGGUUGCUGCUGUUCUCUUAAGACACCAGGUAGCCAUCUGAUCCUCCCUGAGCAAACUAACUGGGCAGACAGGUUUAUUAAACCUCUGUUGGUCCGACUUACAUGAAACAAGAGAGUUAUUUUGUUGUUGUUGUUUUGUUUUGUUUUAAAUUAAACCUGUCUUUGGAGCCUCCUGCUCUUAGUUUACAAGUCUUCUUUGCACACUCUAAUAUUUUAAGAAGCAGCAAACAUUAACUGAGGGUCUA